CUUCCUUUUCUCUUUUAUCCCUUUUUCAAUUUUCUUCUUUUCUCCUUCAUCGUGUCGCCCACCAAACUCAUUUUUCCUUAGCGUCCUUCCCUCCUCCACUGGUGCUAAUUUUUGUCAUUUUUCUUCCUCCUUUUGAUUUUAUUUCAUUAUUUUUUCAGCCUUGAAUUAGUCUCUUGAACCACUCAAAAAUUGGAUCCCACUGUUGCCACAAAGAUCUCCAUUUUCGCCCCUUUAACUUGCUAGAGCAUUGAUUUAAACAUCCUAGAACAACAGUGAAGCCAUUUUUCGUCCGCGCUCUCGCUUUGCACCAUAUCAUUGUACGUUUAAGUUUGGUGAAGGAAGCGUAGAUUUCACAAGUAGUACUGUGGUUUUGUGAAAUUAAGGUGAAGUUGGCAAGGCAAUUAAUUCUUCGAAACCUAGAAUCAUUGGUGUUUUGCUAUUUCUUGAAGAUAAGGAGUCAAAUUGGGGUUUUAGGUUGAAAUUCUUCGUUUAAAAUUUAAUGUUUGAUAUAUCAAUUUUUGUGAAUUGGGUUUGGGAAUCGUCUUAAUUGGUGGUUUAAUUAUUGUUUUU
Long non-coding RNA from Gossypium raimondii (Peruvian cotton), 570 nucleotides. RefSeq lists it as uncharacterized. The transcript is spliced from 4 exons. The record is from RefSeq and is a predicted model, not a curated record. Lineage: Eukaryota; Viridiplantae; Streptophyta; Magnoliopsida; Malvales; Malvaceae.